GCCCUCGUGGCUCAAUGGUUAAGUGCUUGGCUGCUAACCUAAGGGCUGGUGAUUUGAACUCACCCAGUGGCU
Molecule: transfer RNA, 72 nt
Organism: Loxodonta africana (African savanna elephant)
Lineage: Eukaryota; Metazoa; Chordata; Mammalia; Proboscidea; Elephantidae
Rfam family: tRNA
About the family: Transfer RNA (tRNA) molecules are approximately 80 nucleotides in length. Their secondary structure includes four short double-helical elements and three loops (D, anti-codon, and T loops).
Source: Rfam